UGGGGAAUUUUGGACAAUGGGGGCAACCCUGAUCCAGCAAUGCCGCGUGUGUGAAGAAGGCCUUCGGGUUGUAAAGCACUUUUGUCCGGGAAGAAAUCCCCUGCCCUAAUACGGCGGGGGGAUGACGGUACCGGAAGAAUAAGCACCGGCUAACUACGUGCCAGCAGCCGCGGUAAUACGUAGGGUGCGAGCGUUAAUCGGAAUUACUGGGCGUAAAGCGUGCGCAGGCGGUGAUGUAAGACCGAUGUGAAAUCCCCGGGGCUCAACCUGGGAACUGCAUUGGUGACUGCAUUGCUCGAGUAUGGCAGAGGGGGGUGGAAUUCCACGUGUAGCAGUGAAAUGCGUAGAGAUGUGGAGGAACACCGAUGGCGAAGGCAGCCCCCUGGGCCAAUACUGACGCUCAUGCACGAAAGCGUGGGGGAGCAAACAGGAUUAGAUACCCUGGUAGUCCACGCCCUAAACGAUGUCAACUGGUUGUCGGGCCUUCAUUGGCUUGGUAACGUAGCUAACGCGUGAAGUUGACCGCCU
Molecule: ribosomal RNA, 528 nt
Filed under: uncultured bacterium
Lineage: Bacteria
Description: partial 16S ribosomal RNA
Rfam family: Bacterial small subunit ribosomal RNA
Source: RNAcentral